This 259-nucleotide ribosomal RNA is filed under the name uncultured bacterium. RNAcentral's name for it is "partial 16S ribosomal RNA". It matches the Rfam family "Bacterial small subunit ribosomal RNA", at positions 95 to 354 of the family's 1533-position model. The record is from RNAcentral.
UUGGCGGACGGGUGAGUAACGCGUGGGUAACCUGCCUUACACAGGGGGAUAACACUUAGAAAUAGGUGCUAAAACCGCAUAAGCGCACAGCUUCGCAUGAAGCGGUGUGAAAAACUCCGGUGGUGUAAGAUGGACCCGCGUCUGAUUAGCUUGUUGGCGGGGUAACGGCCCACCAAGGCGACGAUCAGUAGCCGGCCUGAGAGGGCGGACGGCCACAUUGGCACUGAGACACGGCCCAGACUCCUACGGGAGGCAGCAG